Molecule: unclassified non-coding RNA, 251 nt
Filed under: Glomus sp.
Lineage: Eukaryota; Fungi; Glomeromycota; Glomeromycetes; Glomerales; Glomeraceae
Description: partial contains 5.8S ribosomal RNA and internal transcribed spacer 2
Rfam family: 5.8S ribosomal RNA (bases 1-65)
Source: RNAcentral
GUGAAUCAUCAAAUUUUUGAACGCAAAUUGCACUCUCUUCGGAGAGUAUGCCUGUUCGAGGGUCAGCCUAAAAAAAUCGGCAUAGUUUGUGUUUCGCGGUUACAGUCGGCGGAAAUUGGGUCAUCUUAAAACUUUGGGUUUUAAGCGGCUUAAAAUUUUCUUUACGAUUCCACGAACGUUUCUAAGAUUUUACUUCUUACACUUUUAAUGGAUCGAUCUUUAUUAGACGUUGCCGUUUUAUCCUAUCAAGU